ACGCUCGACACCUACGGAGCAGCAGUGGGGAAUAUUGCACAAUGGGGGAAACCCUGAUGCAGCGACGCCGCGUGGAGGAAGAAGGUCUUCGGAUUGUAAACUCCUGUUGUUGGGGAAAAAGAGGAUGGUACCCAACAAGGAAGUGACGGCUAACUACGUGCCAGCACGCCGGUACGGUAAUCUGAGGCGGGCGUGGACGAAGGC
Molecule: ribosomal RNA, 204 nt
Filed under: uncultured bacterium
Lineage: Bacteria
Description: partial 16S ribosomal RNA
Rfam family: Bacterial small subunit ribosomal RNA
Source: RNAcentral